This is a small nuclear RNA of Monodelphis domestica (gray short-tailed opossum), 106 nucleotides long. Lineage: Eukaryota; Metazoa; Chordata; Mammalia; Didelphimorphia; Didelphidae. The record is from Ensembl.
GUGCUUCUUUGGCAGUAUGUACACUGAAAUUGGAACGAUACAGAAAAGAUUAGCAUGGCUGCUCUGCAAGGAUGACACGAAGAUUCAUGAAGGAUUCCAUAUUUAA